This 809-nucleotide ribosomal RNA is filed under the name uncultured bacterium. RNAcentral's name for it is "bacterial SSU rRNA". It matches the Rfam family "Bacterial small subunit ribosomal RNA", at positions 8 to 796 of the family's 1533-position model. The record is from RNAcentral.
AGAGUUUGAUCCUGGCUCAGAACGAACGCUGGCGGCGUGCUUAACACAUGCAAGUCGAACGGGAUCCAGAGCUUGCUCUGGUGAGAGUGGCGCACGGGUGAGUAACGCGUGGAUAACCUGCCCUGGUAUCUGGAAUAACAUCUCGAAAGGGGUGCUAAUACCGGAUAAGCCCACGGGGUCCUCGGACUCUGCGGGAAAAGGUGGCCUCUGAAUAUGCUACCGUAUCAGGAUGGGUCCGCGUACCAUUAGCUAGUUGGUAGGGUAAUGGCCUACCAAGGCUACGAUGGUUAGCUGGUCUGAGAGGAUGAUCAGCCACACUGGAACUGAGACACGGUCCAGACUCCUACGGGAGGCAGCAGUGGGGAAUUUUGCGCAAUGGGGGAAACCCUGACGCAGCAACGCCGCGUGAGUGAUGAAGGCUUUCGGGUCGUAAAGCUCUGUCAGUAGGGAAGAAGUGUAAGGGUGCUAAUACCAUCUUUACUUGACGGUACCUACAAAGGAAGCACCGGCUAACUCCGUGCCAGCAGCCGCGGUAAUACAGAGGGGGCAAGCGUUAUUCGGAAUUAUUGGGCGUAAAGGGCGCGUAGGCGGUUUUUUAAGUCAGAUGUGUAAUCCCCGAGCUCAACUUGGGAACUGCAUCUGAGACUGGAAGGCUAGAGUACUGGAGAGGGUGGUAGAAUUCCACGUGUAGCGGUGAAAUGCGUAGAGAUGUGGAGGAAUACCAGUGGCGAAGGCGGCCACCUGGACAGUAACUGACGCUGAGGCGCGAAAGUGUGGGUAGCAAACAGGAUUAGAUACCCUGGUAGUCC